This 67-nucleotide transfer RNA is filed under the name Otolemur crassicaudatus (thick-tailed bush baby). Its description in RNAcentral is "tRNA-Tyr". It matches the Rfam family "tRNA". From Rfam's summary of the family: Transfer RNA (tRNA) molecules are approximately 80 nucleotides in length. Their secondary structure includes four short double-helical elements and three loops (D, anti-codon, and T loops). The record is from RNAcentral. Lineage: Eukaryota; Metazoa; Chordata; Mammalia; Primates; Galagidae.
GGUAAGAUGGCUGAGUAGAGCAUUAGACUGUAAAUCUAAAAACAGAGGUCAAGUCCUCUUUUUACCA